GGCGUCUCUCUGAACCCCCUCGACCGUCCGAGCUUCCGAACUUCUCCGACAAUGAGCUUCUCCAUCCAUCUACCGGGCCACUACAAAGGCUCUCUAGGCCUCACUAUCAGCCGACCUUCUAUAGUGAUCAACUAUUCUUCGAACUUCUUCCAGACUUCAUCAAUAUCCGAGCUUCUUUGACAACGGGAUUUCUACAGUAAUCAGACUACAUCCAAGUUUCUACGGUGGUCGACCACCUUCAGGAUUCCAAUCGAGCUCCUACGAGAGCCGAACUUCUACUAC
This 282-nucleotide long non-coding RNA is filed under the name Elaeis guineensis (African oil palm). RNAcentral describes it as "long non-coding RNA (EGUI_LNC065476)". Lineage: Eukaryota; Viridiplantae; Streptophyta; Magnoliopsida; Arecales; Arecaceae. The record is from RNAcentral.